This is a long non-coding RNA of Zingiber officinale, 162 nucleotides long. RefSeq lists it as uncharacterized. The transcript is spliced from 3 exons. Lineage: Eukaryota; Viridiplantae; Streptophyta; Magnoliopsida; Zingiberales; Zingiberaceae. The record is from RefSeq and is a predicted model, not a curated record.
GCACAGAUCGUGCCCUAGCCGGGAUUUGUGGAGGUUUUGGUUGAGAAUUAGGGUUCUGACCUCUUCUCUGUGCGUUAGCAAGAACAAGACCGAGCCCUAAUCGGGAUAUUGGAGGGGUGCUGUGGUGAUUUCAGCCAUCACAGAUUGAUUGGGUUGGUUCCC